This 468-nucleotide ribosomal RNA is filed under the name uncultured bacterium. RNAcentral describes it as "partial 16S ribosomal RNA". It matches the Rfam family "Bacterial small subunit ribosomal RNA", at positions 28 to 507 of the family's 1533-position model. The record is from RNAcentral.
GACGAACGCUGGCGGCGUGCCUAAUACAUGCAAGUCGAACGGAAAGGCCCUGCUUUUGUUGGGUUCUCGAUUGGCGAACGGGUGAGUAACACGUGAGUAUCCUGCCCUUGACUUUGUGAUAACUUCAGGAAACUGGGGCUAAUACCGGAUAGGAUCUCCUGCUGCAUGUUGGGGGUUGGAAAGUGUCGGCGGUUGUGGAUGUACUCGCGGCUUAUCAGCUUGUUGGUGGGGUAGUGGCUGACCAAGGCUUUGACGGGUAGCCGGCCUGAGAGGGUGACCGGCCACAAUGGGACUGAGAUACGGACCAGAAUCCUACGGGAGGCAGCAGUGGGGAAUAUUGCACAAUGGGCGGAAGCCUGAUGCAGAAACGCCGCGUGCGGGAUGACGGCCUUCGGGUUGUAAACCGCUUUCGCAUGUGACGAAGCGUGAGUGACGGUAAUGGGUAAAGAAGCACCGGCUAACUACGUG